CAGAACUAUACUCUGAGGGAUCAUUUCUGUACCUCAUUACUAGAGAAGUUCCUCUUAACAUGUAGAGUACCAGAAAUCACAAGGAGGAGAUGCAGUGUUUUUUUCUGAGUGUGAAGCUGGCACUUAGUGUUUUGCUGUAACUGCUGCUUACCAAUGAUCGUUCUUCUUUUCUUCCAGGUGAGUAAGAGAGAGAGGUAGAGAAGUUCAAAGGCAU
Small nucleolar RNA from Carlito syrichta (Philippine tarsier), 214 nucleotides. Its record names the gene U3. It matches the Rfam family "Small nucleolar RNA U3". Rfam says of the family: Small nucleolar RNAs (snoRNAs) are involved in the processing and modification of rRNA in the nucleolus. NCBI's taxonomy places the organism in Eukaryota, Metazoa, Chordata, Mammalia, Primates, Tarsiidae. The record is from Ensembl.